Long non-coding RNA from Xenia sp. Carnegie-2017, 247 nucleotides. RefSeq lists it as uncharacterized. The transcript is spliced from 2 exons. The record is from RefSeq and is a predicted model, not a curated record. NCBI's taxonomy places the organism in Eukaryota, Metazoa, Cnidaria, Anthozoa, Malacalcyonacea, Xeniidae.
AUUUUCCCAAAAGAGCAACAAGAAUGUCUUUCUUAAUGUCUGUGUAGAGAUGUAAUGAAACUGUAGAAAGUGAGAUACACGUCUGGAGGUCUGAGUAGACAAAACACCCUCGAAAGUUAUGAUAAUUAAAAUAUCACUUUGACUGUAAAAAUACAGGAUUGUAGUCUUUCGAUAACAACGGAGCAUGUUUUUUUGCAAUCAGAGAACACUUGUUUAAGAAAUGUUGGUUUAAUAAAGUAUAUUUAUU